CCCUUAGAUGUUCUGGGCCGCACGCGUGCUACACUGAUGCAUUCAACGAGUCUAAAACCUGGUCUGAUAGGGCUGGGUAAUCUUUUGAAAGUGCAUCGUGAUUGGGAUAGAUGAUUGCAAUUCUUCAUCUUCAACGAGGAAUGCCUAGUAAACGCAAGUCAUCAGCUUGCAUUGAUUACGUCCCUGCCCUUUGUACACACCGCCCGUCGCUCCUACCGAUUGAAUGAUCCGAUGAAUACCAUGGAUUGAGGGUACGAAUAGGUUCGCUUAUUUCUGCUGCUCGAGAAGUGGAGUAAAUCUUAUCAUUUAGAGGAAGGAGAAGUCGUAACA
This 330-nucleotide ribosomal RNA is filed under the name uncultured eukaryote. RNAcentral's name for it is "partial 18S ribosomal RNA". It matches the Rfam family "Eukaryotic small subunit ribosomal RNA", at positions 1470 to 1796 of the family's 1831-position model. The record is from RNAcentral.